Long non-coding RNA from Populus nigra (black poplar), 2400 nucleotides. RefSeq lists it as uncharacterized. The transcript is spliced from 3 exons. NCBI's taxonomy places the organism in Eukaryota, Viridiplantae, Streptophyta, Magnoliopsida, Malpighiales, Salicaceae. The record is from RefSeq and is a predicted model, not a curated record.
UUUUAUAACUUAUAAAAAAUAAAAAAAAUAAUAAUAAAUUUGAAAAAUUAAAAAUUAAAAGGGGAUAAAAUUGAAAAAUAUUUAUGAUUUUAUAAUUUAUUCAAAAAAAAUAUAUAAAUAAAUAUAAAAUGAAAAUAAAUUAUAGGAGCUAGUCUGAUUUUUUUUAAGAGAUUGACAUGAAAUUAAAGAGUGAGAAAGAAAAAGAAAAAGAGAUAAAAUAAAAACUCUUUUAGCCCAAAACUACGAAUGGUUCACCCUGGAAGAAUGCCGUGCCCUUCCUCGAAGGAGAAAUUGUCCGCAAAUGCCUCGCUCGCAACGCCCAACAGGAAUAUUUGAAAUGGGUCUGACUCAUGUUUUCCUUCAUCUGCCCUUGAUAUAGAAGUGUUCAUUUGUAGCGCAUCGCAGCUAUUGCAGAACGAGCUUGCAAUUUUGGAAUUCAUACAACUUGUAGUUGAGACCAUGGACCGCCAUUUCGGCAAUGUGGCAAGUCCUCUACUGCCAAGGAUGAUGUCUUUUUACCCCAUGUUGAUGGACUAAUAUUUGGCUUGUCAUCUUUGUCGCCAAGGUUGUCUCCUGGUUUUCCUUUGUUACCCUCAGAUAGAAGUUUACCUUUUCUCUUUGUUUUAAUUUGUUUCUCUUAUCUACAAUGCGAGCUAGAAAUCAUGUUCCAUUUAGAAAAAAGCUCAUUUCAUGCUGGAAGAGAUUGUCAUGAAUGGUUUGCAUUGAUGAGACAAGCAACUCUAACAUUCUGAGCCCGACAAUUACACUGAUGGACAAAACAUCUUACAUGACUGGUCAGGUGCUAUCGUUCUUUCUUGGAUUCUUGAUGAGUUAGCAUUUUAGUUUAUCCUUUAGUGUAUAAAUAAGCUUCAACAGAGACAUUUUCCCUGGUACAUGAAAAACGUUGUGUUGAUUUUAUUGUUGUACCGGUAAAAUACUCUGCUGUCUUCAACAAAAUUUGGUUUUCAUACCUUAAUCAUUCUGUCCAUGUGUAAAGUUCAACUCUUAAGCUCAAGUUCUGUGUGUAAUGGCUGCACUGUAGUGUCCUUUGCUCUAUUCUGGAGGCAUCCAAUUCCAAGGUGAAGAAGGAUUUUUAAGUUGCAGUAUCAUCAGCCAACAUCAAAUUUGCUAACAAAAUAUACAUUUUUUUUAGAGUUACGCAUAAAUUGCCUAAUCUUCUACAGAAUAAUAAUGUUUCACAGAUGUAUUUCCUGCCAAUUGGCAACAUUUCUCUAGGAAAUUUCAAUUUGAAAAAACUGAAAGAUCAAAUUGCUGCAGGCCUGCCAUCUUUUCUUAGAUCGCUCACUGCUGUGAGCGUUCCAUGGAGUAUUUGGGCAUUUACAGAAUCUCUCGAAUUUUCUCUGUCCACGUGGAUGGGGCUUUGGAGGGUCUGAACAACAAGCUGGACAAUAGCUCCCCCUGCCUGAGCCAGCAACUGAUGACCCCUUUCCUCCAAGAAAGCUUUUCUGUCCCCUGCAAGUUCUAUGUGCUUGCCAUCUAUUACUGUCCAGUUUUCGUACAACACAGUAUUGGGUAUUAACUGCUCAAAAUCAGAUCACAUCAUAUGUCCAAGUAUUAGACGGCAUAUCAUAUUACCCAGAGAGAAGAUAAACAUGAAUUGACCGUUGAAGCAAGUUUCCUACCUUGUGAUAGACCCUUGGACUCUCAACUGCAGUUAAAGGUUCCAUCCUCAUGACAAAAUGAUUAAGAAAGACUUGUAUCACCGCUGGAAUGAUGAAAAGUCCGCCACUACCACCCAUGACCCCAGCUAGCUGAUUGUCCUGUGGAGUUUACAAAAGUGAGAUUACUCGAAGUUAGAGAGGAUUUAUGAAAUUGAUGACGAUACAUCUGAUUCAAGACCAAUGAGGUCGAAACUAUUGCUGUUGAGCUGCAAGAAUUUCUAGCUUGAUAGAGAGUAAUAUAUAUAUAUAUAUAAAGCCAAACCUUGGUGACAAUAAUAGGAGUCAUGGAAGAUAAAGGUCUCUUGUUGGGUUCGAUAAAAUUUGCUGGAGCAGGAGGGAGCAUGUCAGGAGUUAUCUCUGUGGGUGCUGAGAAAUCACCCAUCUCAUUGUUGAGCAAAAUUCCAGUAGAGGGCGAGAGAACUCCAGCUCCAAAACCAUAAUUUAUUGUUGUUGUCAUUGAUACAGCAUUUCGCUCUGCAUCCACAAUGCAAAAGUGGCUGGUUCCAUGAUCUCUAAGCUGACUCCACCUACUAAUUAAGGUCUGGAAUCUUUAGAAUCAUGACACAGUGACAAUGAUACCAGUAAAGCUUUAUUUAUAAUCAGUAGCAAGUAGACAUACCUUUCCAUAUUCAUGUAAUAUUCUGGAGGGAAUGUGGUAUUGUCCACUAUCAUUUUCUGUAUUUUAUCAGCGUAAGAUUGGGAAAGCAUUUCAGACAUA